UACGUAGGGUGCGAGCGUUGUCCGGAAUUAUUGGGCGUAAAGAGCUUGUAGGCGGUUUGUCGCGUCUGCUGUGAAAAUCCGGGGCUCAACCCCGGACUUGCAGUGGGUACGGGCAGACUAGAGUGUGGGUAGGGGAGACUGGAAUUCCUGGUGUAGCGGUGAAAUGCGCAGAUAUCAGGAGGAACACCCGAUGGCGAAGGCAGGUCUCUGGGCCACUACUGAC
RNAcentral lists this ribosomal RNA (223 nucleotides) under uncultured bacterium. RNAcentral describes it as "partial 16S ribosomal RNA". It matches the Rfam family "Bacterial small subunit ribosomal RNA", at positions 524 to 744 of the family's 1533-position model. The record is from RNAcentral.